RNAcentral lists this ribosomal RNA (430 nucleotides) under Bacteroidota bacterium. RNAcentral describes it as "Bacteroidetes bacterium partial 16S ribosomal RNA". It matches the Rfam family "Bacterial small subunit ribosomal RNA", at positions 355 to 776 of the family's 1533-position model. The record is from RNAcentral. Lineage: Bacteria; Pseudomonadati; Bacteroidota.
UAGGGAAUCUUCGGCAAUGGGGGGAACCCUGUCCGAGCAACGCCGCGUGAGUGAAGAAGGUUUUCGGAUCGUAAAGCUCUGUUGUUAAGGAAGAACGAGUGUGAGAAUGGAAAGUUCAUGCCGUGACGGUACUUAACCAGAAAGGGACGGCUAACUACGUGCCAGCAGCCGCGGUAAUACGUAGGUCCCGAGCGUUGUCCGGAUUUAUUGGGCGUAAAGCGAGCGCAGGCGGUCAAUUAAGUCUGAUGUGAAAGCCCCCGGCUCAACCGGGGAGGGUCAUUGGAAACUGGUUGACUUGAGUGCAGAAGAGGAGAGUGGAAUUCCAUGUGUAGCGGUGAAAUGCGUAGAUAUAUGGAGGAACACCAGUGGCGAAGGCGACUCUCUGGUCUGUAACUGACGCUGAGGUUCGAAAGCGUGGGUAGCAAACAGG